GAAUGAUCAAGUGAUAUAAGGGCAUCUGGUGGAUGCCUUGGCAUGCACAGGCGAUGAAGGACGUGAUACGCUGCGAUAAGCCAUGGGGAGCUGCGAAUAAGCUUUGAUCCGUGGAUUUCCGAAUGGGGCAACCCACCUCCGACUUCUAGAAAAUCGGAACGGCACUGGUUGGACUUCGGUCUGGCCGGUGGCGCUGCGGUUUCUAGGGGUCAUCAGCGAGGUAUCUUAUCUUCGAAUAAAAUAGGGAUAAGAAGCGAACUCGGGGAACUGAAACAUCUAAGUACCCGAAGGAAAGGACAUCAACCGAGACUCCGUCAGUAGCGGCGAGCGAACGCGGACCAGGCCAGUGGCAAUCUAUGAAAGAAGCCGAACACGUUGGAAAUCGUGGCAAGAAUGGGUGAUAGCCCCGUAGGCAUAAUGUUCUUGAUUGUCCUCGAGUAGGGCGGGACACGUGAAAUCCUGUCUGAAAUUAGGGGGACCACCCUCUAAGCCUAAGUACUCGUGCAUGACCGAUAGCGAACCAGUACCGUGAGGGAAAGGUGAAAAGCACCCCGACAAGGGGAGUGAAAUAGAACCUGAAACCGGAUGCCUACAAACAGUCGGAGCCAUAAUGGGUGACGGCGUACCUUUUGUAUAAUGGGUCAGCGACUUAGUCUGGCGAGCAAGCUUAAGCCGAUAGGUGGAGGCGUAGCGAAAGCGAGUCUGAACAGGGCGUUCAGUUCGUCGGAUUAGACCCGAAACCGAGUGAUCUAGCCAUGAGCAGGUUGAAGGUGCAGUAACAUGCACUGGAGGACCGAACCCAUAUCUGUUGCAAUAGAUCGGGAUGACUUGUGGCUAGGGGUGAAAGGCCAAUCAAACUCGGAAAUAGCUGGUUCUCCGCGAAAUCUAUUUAGGUAGAGCGUCGACCGAAUACCCCCGGGGGUAGAGCACUGAAUGGGCUAGGGGGACUCACCGUCCUACCAAACCCAAUCAAACUCCGAAUACCGGGGAGUACUAGUCGGCAGACACACGGCGGGUGCUAACGUCCGUCGUGGAGAGGGAAACAACCCUGACCACCAUCUAAGGUCCCCAAGUCAUGGCUAAGUGGGAAAGGAUGUGAAGAUCCCAAAACAACCAGGAUGUUGGCUUAGAAGCAGCCAUCAUUUAAAGAAAG
This 1153-nucleotide ribosomal RNA is filed under the name Pseudomonadota bacterium. RNAcentral describes it as "Proteobacteria bacterium partial 23S ribosomal RNA". It matches the Rfam family "Bacterial large subunit ribosomal RNA", at positions 1 to 1132 of the family's 2925-position model. Lineage: Bacteria; Pseudomonadati; Pseudomonadota. The record is from RNAcentral.